Molecule: long non-coding RNA, 584 nt
Organism: Falco peregrinus (peregrine falcon)
Lineage: Eukaryota; Metazoa; Chordata; Aves; Falconiformes; Falconidae
Exons: 3
Source: RefSeq, a predicted model, not a curated record
CUUGGCAAGUUUUGCAGCAAGACCCAUCUGACCUUCCACCUUGUAAUGAAACUUUGCAGAGUCCUAGUGCAAAUUUCCGGCAGCUUUAUCACAGACCACCUUUCGUCCCUCCUCCAAACCAUCCCUGCUCAUCUCCCCUUGUGACUGAUCCAGCACAUCUGACCUCACGGAGCAAUGGCCUGGCGAGUCUCUUACCUCUGGGCGCCCGUCUCACUGAAAUCUAUUUGGAAAGACUGCAGUACUAUAGGAACCUAUAUGGGCUAUCACAUUUUUGGCCAUGCUACUGCUCAAGACGAUUUAGUGAUCAAGUUGGUUGCUCAGUUUCCAAUUCUCAACAUCAAGAUCAUCUCAAGAUGAUCUUAUGCAGUGGUCACCCAGUUCAGUCUGAUGUAUCAGGGAUUUGUGGAACCGAAUUUACAAACUACCUGGUAUUGAUCACUAUACUGCUAAUUUCAAGAUGGAGUCAGUUGCUGCUUCUGACUAUCAAUGCUGCAUAGAGAACCUGGAUCAGGGUGUUUAUGUGAUACCAGCUCCUUAAAACCAACCAUGCUCAUUCCUAAGAAUUAAAUGUCUCUGUGGCCAGA